Molecule: non-coding RNA, 934 nt
Organism: Chiloscyllium plagiosum (whitespotted bambooshark)
Lineage: Eukaryota; Metazoa; Chordata; Chondrichthyes; Orectolobiformes; Hemiscylliidae
Source: RefSeq, a predicted model, not a curated record
UGACCAUUGGCUAGACAUUCCAAAACCUAAUCUCAGCACAGGGAGACAUUCCAGAAUCUCAAGGAAAUCUAAAAGGGGAAAAAGCCAAAUUAACAGAGCUGCUGACUAGAAGAAGGGUCCUGCUUCCAAUCAUGUGAUAAACCCAGAAAGUUAGAAUCUAAUUGGUAAGGAACAUGGAAAUACCAGAAUGGCACAAUAAAGGGUAAUCAAAUGUCAAGCUUUAAGAAUCUUACUGGAACGACGUGAUGGAAGCCUUACUUAUAGUGAAGACAUGUAGUUUCCAAAGUAAACAUUUUAUCAUUUGUGUGCUCUAAUUAUUUAAUGAAUAUACAACCACACUGUGGUUAAUAAAGUUAAUAAAAAUUAACUUUUGAAGUACUGCUGAUGAGUGAUCUUGUUACCCUCUCUGCCAGCAGCUCAGCAAAUCACUGGAGCCAAAUAUUGUUGUCUAAAACACAUCUUAGUUUUAACCUGAUGGUUAAAUAAUGUUAUGAGAAUAGAAUUGCCUUUGUUGUCAGGUGCAUUCGAAUGAAUAGAGUGAACAUUUGUAAUGUCGCCUCUUGGUGCCAUCUUGGGUACAGGGUACCUAGGUACAGAUACUUUAAGUGCUGUUACAGAAUUGAAGUAGUAAAACAAAAGACUAGCAUGGGAAUACUUUAAAAAGUCUAGAAUGAGAAUAAAAAGUGUCUUUAAGGUACUCAAGUUAUAGUCCUUUUUUCACUGGAUCCGUGCCCACCGGGUUUCAGAACCUGAAAGCGUGUUGCCUCCACGCACUGGCCUCUGUCAAGGACUUGCCUCCACGCACUGGCCUCUGUCAAGGACUUGCCUCCAGGACCCGUCUUCCCGGCCAACCCACGCUCACGCUGCUCCCGCUCUUCUCUGGCUGCAAAUCGGCUCCCAGCUCAGCCCACGCACUCUCACGGCCUACUGAGUG